CUAACAUUAUUCGAAGUGCGAUAUAAAGAUCGCUCGCAAAUGUUUGUCAAAAGUCGGAAAUACAUGUGUGAGAGAGAGAGAGAGAGAGGUUAUAUUAUAAUAAUAAACUACACCCCGAGAACUGUGAUCACACCAGCAAUGAGGUUAUAGUAAACAAGUAAACAUGAAACGCAGACGAGACUUACUAUAUAUUAUAUAAGAACGACCGUGCAAAAGAUAUAUUCUUUUUAGAGUUUUAUAUUGCAUUUGUUACACUCAAAAUGAAAUAUACAAAUAAUAUCGAAAGAAAAGGGGCGUAAAUUAUAAGAAAGUGUAAAGAUUAGAGGAACACAUUAUUUACAGCGCGAGCUGUCAUCGUAAAGAUCGGUAAAUGUUUAGAACAACCCGCUCUACUUAGAUUUUGAUAAAAAUACAUUUUCGAGGGAAGGUACAGUAACAGAAUUGUACAAAUAUAAGAAUUGUAAUAUAAAAUCCGCUUGUCUUCCUUCUGAAAUUUGGAUAAAUCUAUGUCAUUCUAAACGCAGAAAAAGUAAAACUAUGAAACAAUUUGUUUCAUCGACUGAUUCUCUUCAUUUUUCUUGUAAGAAAUCGGGAAUAGGAAAUUAAUUUUGCACUCCCAACUCUCAAUUUCAAAUAAUGCGCCACGCGAGACCACGAGAGCGGUCACAAUUACUGCGCAUGCGCGCGACAAUUCUUCGGAUUGGCAUCACUGAUUAGUAUGUCCCGAAGUCCCGAGUCCCGAUCGCUCGUCCGUUAGCCAUGUUUUACGAUCAGAUACGUAACGAGCUUAUCGUACGAAAAUGAGUGCCGCGGGCGAGAGAGUCGAUCUGUCGUGGUUGUCGUGCGAUCGGCCUCGACGACGGUGAAGAGGCCCCGUUGCUACGGCAAGACGCGGAGUGGCAUGUGUUCGCUUCCUCGGCAGGACAUCGCGCGCGUGUGCUACGGCCGGUGAUCGUGCUCGGAGGCGGUGUGCGGUGAUAUCUCUCUUUCUCUCUCCCUCUAUCUCGGAAAGGCUCUCUUGCAAGAGAGCCGAGAGCCUCACGCUCAGCGACGCGCGUCGGAGUCUGUGCGUGACAGACCCGCUCUGACCCAAUGGAGGAGCCGCGUCCUCUCACCGUCUUGUUGGCUUUGUUGUUGACAGCGCUCGCACGAGAUGCAAUUGAGACGAAACGAACUCAUUGAUCGAGACGGAAAAUACAAUUGCCGAGUCCCGUCCAAUUUAAUCGGGAUAGCGAAAUGAGACGAGAGUUGAUGACAUUUCCAUUCAACGAGAUUCGACACUGAAUAAAUAUCAAGUAGAGUGUAUACGUGUGUGUAUUAAAACUUAAUUUUUUUUUACGCCGAGUUUUUUUCGAAUCGAUUUCGAGUCGCUUUUUAUAACGUUUUAAAUAUCCGCAAGAAUGCAUAUUCUGUUCAUUUAGAUUGCCUAUAAAAUAAUUCAAAUUUAUCCUGUAAAGAUUAUUCUUCUUUAUCUUCAUCUGAGACCUGCGAUCAUUCUUACUCGUCGUUUUUUUUUAAUCCCGUCUUGCUUGCAAAAAUUACAUAAUAUUUCGCACUCGCAAAGUCAGACGUUCGUAUAAUUACAUGUCGACAUGUGACACCGCUAAUGUAAGCAGUGCCGGUAAUGUAAUCAUCUCUAGAAAUCGAGUAUUGUACAUCAUUGCCAGAUCAUAUCUCGAGGAGCAUUUCCGAGAAUUAAAUUUCGAGUAUUGUUAGAAAAGCGAUCUACACUCGCUUUUAUCUAUUUGUGCGUGUGUGGGUAUCAUCUGCGCAAAUUUGCAUAAUCCGGUCGUUUGUGUGUACGAAGGAAGUCGAGUUGAGAGACCCUGCGCAUCGGGUGACUAUUAUUGAUGCAGGGAGAAAAAGAGGAGAAAGAGGGGGAAGGAGGGCGGCCGGCGAGAGAGAAGAUUACGCCGACGAGAGCACGGGGGUGACUUCUUUUGGAAUGUAUUUUCCAUUGCGAUUCGAAUUGCGGGGGAAUCAACC
Formica exsecta is the source of this 1986-nucleotide long non-coding RNA. RefSeq lists it as uncharacterized. The transcript has 3 exons. Lineage: Eukaryota; Metazoa; Arthropoda; Insecta; Hymenoptera; Formicidae. The record is from RefSeq and is a predicted model, not a curated record.